GUCCAUACCUUCUGUCUUAGAAUCAAUACUGAAUACUAGUUCCAAGGUAUCAGAGAAGUAAGGGCUAGGCAAUGGGGGUUAAGUGACUUGUCCAGGAUCACACAGCUAGGAAGUAUCUGAGGUCACAUUUGAACCCAGGACUUCCUGUCUCUAGGCCUGACUCUCAAUCCACUGAGACACCUUGCUGCCUCCUCCCUUUGGUUAUUCUAAGGAAGGAAAUAAGCAUUUAUUAGACACCUAUGAUGUGCCAGGCGCUGUGCUAAGUACUUUAUAAAUAUUUUCCCAUUUGAUCUUCCCAACAGCCCUGGGAGGGAAGUGCAAUUACUAUUCCUAUUUUACAUUAGAAGAAACUGGAGCAGAUAGAAAUUGUCUUGCACAAGGUCACACAGUUAUUAAGAGUCUAAGGCUGGAUUUUAAUUCAAACCUUUCUGACUCCAGGCCUGCUGCUGAAAUUACUUCCUUUGAAGAAGAAAAAUGAGUAUCUAAAUAGAAACUUUUAGAGUCUGAAUCUUUCCUCAACCAACUUCAAUAGAUAUCAAUGAGCCUUCAUAUCUGAAAAAAAGAUAAUUUAUUUUUAUCAUUUUAAUUCAUUUUUAAGUCCUGUAUCACCAGUAGCCUAAAAGCCCCCUCCUUGACACCUCUUUUUCCCAGCAGCCAAUGCCAUGAAGUUCUCUGAUGAAUGACCGAGGGGUAAGGGCAUUCCCUGUGCUUAACUAGCAAAUUUUUGGUCUAUGUAUCAUAACGGACUCAUCUUGCAAGCUUUAUUUAGGUAAAACUCCUAUUGAGCUCCAGCUCCUAGGAGUGAGGCUGACUCAGAGCUUCAGAAUUUGGCCCACAGGGAGAUGAGUCAUGGUGAUGAAAUUUCAAAAGAAAAGGGACAUUUUUAAAAUUAGCCCAAGAUGUCCGAUGGCCUUGGUCUUGAAUCCUCCCCGCAACGAAACUGUGCCUUUUGAUCUUGUUGGUGUGCUUAGUUUAGUUAUGGUUCCCCUCAGGUAAAGGAAGUUCAUUUUUCUGUAUCAGAAAAUAACUAAAAAGCUGAAGAAGUCCAAAAUGAGCUCAAAAGAACAAUUCAUAUUUCUAUUAUUGUAAAAUGGCUAUAAAUGUUACAACAAGCUUUGCCCAAAACCUUUUGAGUUGGAUAGUUUGUAUUUGGUAUACCCUUA
This 1163-nucleotide long non-coding RNA is filed under the name Monodelphis domestica (gray short-tailed opossum). Its description in RNAcentral is "lncRNA (ENSMODG00000038384.1)". Lineage: Eukaryota; Metazoa; Chordata; Mammalia; Didelphimorphia; Didelphidae. The record is from RNAcentral.